GAAGGGAGCUUGCUCCUGGAUUCAGCGGCGGACGGGUGAGUAAUGCCUAGGAAUCUGCCUGGUAGUGGGGGAUAACGUCCGGAAACGGGCGCUAAUACCGCAUACGUCCUGAGGGAGAAAGUGGGGGAUCUUCGGACCUCACGCUAUCAGAUGAGCCUAGGUCGGAUUAGCUAGUUGGUGGGGUAAAGGCCUACCAAGGCGACGAUCCGUAACUGGUCUGAGAGGAUGAUCAGUCACACUGGAACUGAGACACGGUCCAGACUCCUACGGGAGGCAGCAGUGGGGAAUAUUGGACAAUGGGCGAAAGCCUGAUCCAGCCAUGCCGCGUGUGUGAAGAAGGUCUUCGGAUUGUAAAGCACUUUAAGUUGGGAGGAAGGGCAGUAAGUUAAUACCUUGCUGUUUUGACGUUACCAACAGAAUAAGCACCGGCUAACUUCGUGCCAGCAGCCGCGGUAAUACGAAGGGUGCAAGCGUUAAUCGGAAUUACUGGGCGUAAAGCGCGCGUAGGUGGUUCAGCAAGUUGGAUGUGAAAUCCCCGGGCUCAACCUGGGAACUGCAUCCAAAACUACUGAGCUAGAGUACGGUAGAGGGUGGUGGAAUUUCCUGUGU
RNAcentral lists this ribosomal RNA (609 nucleotides) under Pseudomonas aeruginosa. RNAcentral describes it as "bacterial SSU rRNA". It matches the Rfam family "Bacterial small subunit ribosomal RNA", at positions 71 to 676 of the family's 1533-position model. Lineage: Bacteria; Pseudomonadati; Pseudomonadota; Gammaproteobacteria; Pseudomonadales; Pseudomonadaceae. The record is from RNAcentral.